This 264-nucleotide long non-coding RNA is filed under the name Homo sapiens (human). RNAcentral's name for it is "HSALNT0362520". Lineage: Eukaryota; Metazoa; Chordata; Mammalia; Primates; Hominidae. The record is from RNAcentral.
CCCAGAUGUGGGGCACCCAGGCCUGGGAUGCCCAGGCAUGGAGUAUCCAGGUGGAGAAACAUGGGGCUAAAUGAUGAUCUUGAAAAGGGCCCUCACUCGUGAGCCUUCGCCAUGUGCCAGUCACUAUGCUGAGCACCUUGCAGGUCUUGCUGUGAUGACUGGAGCUGUGGCAGCCACCUUGUGACCAUGAGGGAAAAGCCAAGAGACUAGUUGAGAAGCCAACUGAGAGUUUUACCGCCAACUGAGAGUUUUACCUCCAUUGAG